AUACGGAGGGGGCAAGCGUUGUUCGGAAUUACUGGGCGUAAAGGGCGCGUAGGCGGUCGGGUGUGUCUGGCGUGAAAGCCCUUGGUUCAACCAAGGAAUUGCGUCUUAUACUGCCUGACUUGAGUCCGGGAGAGGAGAGUGGAAUUCCCAGUGUAGCGGUGAAAUGCGUAGAUACUGGGAGGAACACCGGUGGCGAAGGCGGCUCUCUGGACCGGUACUGACGCUGAGGCGCGAAAGCUAGGGGAGCAAACAGGAUUAGAAACCCCGGUAGUCC
This 274-nucleotide ribosomal RNA is filed under the name uncultured bacterium. Its description in RNAcentral is "partial 16S ribosomal RNA". It matches the Rfam family "Bacterial small subunit ribosomal RNA", at positions 523 to 796 of the family's 1533-position model. The record is from RNAcentral.